GGAUGACGGGGGCCCGCACAAGCGGCGGAGCAUGCGGAUUAAUUCGAUGCAACGCGAAGAACCUUACCUAGGUUUGACAUAUACGAGAAGCCUCUAGAGAUAGAGGUCUCUUUGGACACUUGUAUACAGGUGGUGCAUGGCUGUCGUCAGCUCGUGUCGUGAGAUGUUGGGUUAAGUCCCGCAACGAGCGCAACCCUCGUCUUAUGUGCCAGCACGUAA
This 219-nucleotide ribosomal RNA is filed under the name uncultured Actinomycetes bacterium. Its description in RNAcentral is "uncultured actinobacterium partial 16S ribosomal RNA". It matches the Rfam family "Bacterial small subunit ribosomal RNA", at positions 911 to 1128 of the family's 1533-position model. Lineage: Bacteria; Bacillati; Actinomycetota; Actinomycetes. RNAcentral also lists the same sequence under 1 other name. The record is from RNAcentral.